This 349-nucleotide unclassified non-coding RNA is filed under the name soil metagenome. RNAcentral describes it as "partial contains 5.8S ribosomal RNA, internal transcribed spacer 2, and large subunit ribosomal RNA". The stretch from base 1 to 120 matches the Rfam family "5.8S ribosomal RNA", at positions 35 to 154 of the family's 154-position model. The record is from RNAcentral.
GAUGAAGAACGUAGUGAAAUGCGAUAAGUAAUGUGAAUUGCAGAAUUCAGUGAAUCAUCGAGUCUUUGAACGCACAUUGCGCCCCCUGGUAUUCCGGGGGGCAUGCCUGUCCGAGCGUCAUUGCUGCCCUCAAGCACGGCUUGUGUGUUGGGCUCUCGCCCCCCGCUUCCGGGGGGCGGGCCCGAAAGGCAGCGGCGGCACCGCGUCCGGUCCUCGAGCGUAUGGGGCUUCGUCACCCGCUCUGUAGGCCCGGCCGGCGCCCGCCGGCGAACACCAUCAAUCUUAACCAGGUUGACCUCGGAUCAGGUAGGGAUACCCGCUGAACUUAAGCAUAUCAAUAAGCGGAGGA